GAGCCUCCCUGUCAGUCCCAGGGUAAAGCGACCCAUUGAAAACAGGAUCCUCAUUCUACCCAAUGUCACGAGAAAUGAAACAGGACCUUAUCAAUGUGAAAUACGGGACCGAUAUGGUGGCAUCCGCAGUGACCCAGUCACCCUGAAUGUCCUCUAUGGUCCAGACCUCCCCAGCAUUUACCCUUCAUUCACCUAUUACCGUUCAGGAGAAAACCUCUACUUGUCCUGCUUCGCCGAGUCUAACCCACGGGCACAAUAUUCUUGGACAAUUAAUGGGAAGUUUCAGCUAUCAGGACAAAAGCUCUCUAUCCCCCAAAUAACUACAAAGCAUAGUGGGCUCUAUGCUUGCUCUGUUCGUAACUCAGCCACUGGCAAGGAAAGCUCCAAAUCCAUCACAGUCAAAGUCUCUGGUAAGUGGAUCCCAGCAUCCUUGGCAAUAGGGAUUUAGGUGGAGUCUAUCUGGCAUUCAGGGAAGAGUGAGGAAAACAUUUUUAUUCCCAGCCUGUGUCCCAUGGGCACAAGCAAAUCCCAAAUUCUACUCCUGAACACUCCCAAUUUGUCUAAGAACUUCCAAAACUUUAACAAACAGGCUGAUAUCUUCUUAAAAUUCCCAGCCUAGACCAAGCAGGAGAAACAUUGAUUUCAUUGAAAUAAUUGACAAUAUUGAGGAUAAUAUUUUUAUGAUUUUUAUUUGAAAAUUUGCUGAUUCUUUAAAUGGUUUGUUUUCUAGAUUUAUGGAAUUUUUUUCUUUUAAUCUAUCUAUAGCUUGUAGCAGUUCAAUAAACUAUACUUCUG
RNAcentral lists this long non-coding RNA (795 nucleotides) under Homo sapiens (human). Its description in RNAcentral is "non-protein coding lnc-PSG5-1:1". Lineage: Eukaryota; Metazoa; Chordata; Mammalia; Primates; Hominidae. The record is from RNAcentral.